AACGCGAAGAACCUUACCUACCCUUGACAUACAGUGAAUUUUGCAGAGAUGCGAAAGUGCUCGAAAGAGAAUACUGAUACAGGUGCUGCAUGGCUGUCGUCAGCUCGUGUCGUGAGAUGUUGGGUUAAGUCCCGUAACGAGCGCAACCCUUAUUCUUAGUUGCCAACGCGUAGAGGCGGGAACUCUAAGGAGACUGCCGGUGACAAACCGGAGGAAGGCGGGGACGACGUCAAGUCAUCAUGGCCCUUACGGGUAGGGCUACACACGUGCUACAAUGGCAAGUACAGAGGGCUGCGAAGCGGUGACGUGGAGCGAAUCCUUAAAAGCUUGUCGUAGUCCGGAUUGAAGUCUGCAACUCGACUUCAUGAAGUCGGAAUCGCUAGUAAUCGCAAAUCAGCAUGUUGCGGUGAAUACGUUCCCGGGCCUUGUACACACCGGCUAC
RNAcentral lists this ribosomal RNA (442 nucleotides) under uncultured bacterium. RNAcentral describes it as "bacterial SSU rRNA". It matches the Rfam family "Bacterial small subunit ribosomal RNA", at positions 958 to 1397 of the family's 1533-position model. The record is from RNAcentral.